RNAcentral lists this long non-coding RNA (1625 nucleotides) under Olea europaea subsp. europaea. The record is from RNAcentral. Lineage: Eukaryota; Viridiplantae; Streptophyta; Magnoliopsida; Lamiales; Oleaceae.
AUUUAUACGUAUUUUUUAUAUGCAAAUGAGUCCACAUGGGUUUGGUUUGGUUUGUUUUGACUUUGAAAAAAUAUUCCAUACUUGGUGCCCAAGCCAAUACUUCAUGAGUUGGUGUACAAAAUCAAUAUUUUAUUUAUUAUGAGUUGAGGAUGAUGAUGAUAAUUAAUUGAUUCGUUUGUUGUGCAUAAUCGUUAAAUUGUCUUGACCAAAUUACUUUAAAUAUAUUUGAGUCCUCUUUAUUUUCCACUCACCACUCGAUAGCCUUUUCUAUCGCAUGUGCUUUGAGCUUGCUAAGUGGCACUAUUUUCCCCCUUAAUAUCUCAUUUGGUGCAGGCUCAAAAAUGAGUAUUUGAGCGCUCAAAACCAUUAUAGAAAACCUUCUACAAUCUUUAUCGACGAGUGAAUUCCCAAAAUAGUUACUGAACAUUGCAAAAGACUUUCAAGGGAUCACUAAACAUUAAAAAUCACCUAAAUGGUCACUGAACUUUGCAAAAGGUUUUACAGAAGUCACUGAAUUUUAAAAAUCACCUAAAUGGUCACUGAACUUUGCAAAAAAUUUCCCAGAAGUCACUGAACUUUCCAACCCCUAAACCACCUUAGAACCACCACUUAUGGACCACCAAAAUCCACUCUCCUGCCACCUUGGUCCCCGGACCAACAUACCACCGUGGCCUCUUUGCAACCCCCAAGUUCCGACCAUAACGCCAACCGAUUUGGCCAGAAAUUCAAGCCAAAAUGGACUAACCAAACACAAAAAAAUGGCCGGAAGUGAACAAGUCAUCAAUUUUGGACCACCAAAACUCCACUCUCCGGCCAUUUUGGCCGCCGGACCGACAUUCCACCUUAAAGCCCUCGUUUCCCUCUUCACAACACACCCAAGUUCUGGUCAUAAUACCAACUGAUUUGGUCGAAAAUUCAAGCCAAAAUGGGUUGACCAAGCAUGAAAAAUGGCCUGAAUCUUCAUUUUUUGUUGUUCCAAACUACCCAUUUUGGCUUGGAUUUCUGGCCACAUCGGUUAGUGUUAUGACUAGAACUUGUAUGGGUUGCGAAGAGGGAAACGAGGGCUUCAAGAUGGUAUGUCGGUCCGGCGGCCAAGGUGGCCAGAGGGUGGAUUUUGAUGGUCUAUAAAUGGUGGCUCUAAGGUGGUUAAGGGGUUGGAAAGUUCAGUGACUUAUGGGAAAUAUUUUGCAAAGUGCAGUGAUCAUUUAGGUAAUUUUUAAAGUUCAGUGACUUUUGAAAAACUUUUGCAAAGUUUAGUGACCAUUGGGCAAUUCACUCUGAGAAGUUUUUAUAUAGGCUAACAUUGUGGCACAAGUUUUAUUACAUAUUGAUGGUUUAAAUUACUUUGGAAUUUUUCGGAAUGUAGAUGGGAGCGUUAUCUCUUCACUUUUAUUUUUAUAUUUAUAAAUUUACAUUUCAUUUAAAAAUUUAACAAGUAAAUGGAAAAAUAUCAAGUAAAUGAGGAUACUUUAAUUUCGACCCUCGCCUCUCAUUUGAAUAACUAACUUAUUUUAUUAAUUUUAACCAAUCAAAAUAGCUUUAUAUAUUGAACGAACUUCGAAUUUUACUUAUAAUUCAUCCUUUAGGCUUAGCAAAUAAUCUUCUUUUGGACUUUUGCACUCCAG